This 45-nucleotide non-coding RNA is filed under the name Schistosoma mattheei. Lineage: Eukaryota; Metazoa; Platyhelminthes; Trematoda; Strigeidida; Schistosomatidae. The record is from RNAcentral.
AUUCAGCUGACGAGUCUUGAAUAGGACAAAACCCGCGUCCUGAAA